RNAcentral lists this ribosomal RNA (497 nucleotides) under uncultured bacterium. RNAcentral describes it as "partial 16S ribosomal RNA". It matches the Rfam family "Bacterial small subunit ribosomal RNA", at positions 28 to 507 of the family's 1533-position model. The record is from RNAcentral.
GAUGAACGCUGGCGGCGUGCCUAAUACAUGCCAGUCGAGCGAACAGACGAGGAGCUUGCUCCUCUGACGUUAGCGGCGGACGGGUGAGUAACACGUGGAUAACCUACCUAUAAGACUGGGAUAACUUCGGGAAACCGGAGCUAAUACCGGAUAAUAUAUUGAACCGCAUGGUUCAAUAGUGAAAGACGGUUUUGCUGUCACUUAUAGAUGGAUCCGCGCCGCAUUAGCUAGUUGGUAAGGUAACGGCUUACCAAGGCAACGAUGCGUAGCCGACCUGAGAGGGGGGUGGGCCACACGGGAGAGGACACGGGGGACAGCCCCCGCGGGGGGGCAGAGGAGGGAAAUUUCCCGCAAGGGGGAAAGGCCUGAGGGGGCAGCGCCGGUGGGGGAAUAAAGGUCUGGGGAGCUAAAAACUCUUUUAUAGGGAAAGAACAAAUGAGAAGGUAAAGAUGCGGGCCUUGACGUUCCCUAAUCAGAAGACCAGGGCAAACAAGGGG